RNAcentral lists this long non-coding RNA (1145 nucleotides) under Olea europaea subsp. europaea. Lineage: Eukaryota; Viridiplantae; Streptophyta; Magnoliopsida; Lamiales; Oleaceae. The record is from RNAcentral.
AGUACACCAUAGCAAUGAUGGGAUAUGCUGAUGAAUAUAAGACAACUGUCCUUGAGUUGACAUACAAUUAUGGUGUGACUGAAUAUACCAAAGGAAAUGCGUAUGCACAGGUUUGUUAUAUGCUUGUGAAAAUUCUUCAGUUUUUAUCAUUCAACUCUGGCCUCAUGGUGGAUGUAAUAAUAUUUCUAGGUUGCAAUCAGUACUGAGGAUGUAUAUAAAAGUGCCGAGGUUGUGAAUCUUGUAACCCAAGAGCUUGGAGGAAAGAUAACUCGGCAACCAGGACCACUUCCUGGACUGAACACUAAGAUCACUUCUUUCCUAGAUCCAGAUGGUUGGAAAACAGUAAGUUCUCACUUCUCAGGGAUUCAUACUGUACCUUGGAUUUUGACAUUAAUAUUAAUGUUACUAUUGCAUUCUCUCUUCAGAGUUUCGCUUUUCGACUGCAAUUAGUAGUAUUUGAGUACCUCUUCUCCACCCCUCGUGAGCUCGCCACCGUUUGCCCCCAUUAAUUUUUAUUACAUUUUCCUCUCACAUGUUUUCAACCACACAAUCAUACAUAAAAUAAUAUUACACGUAAGUAAAAAACUUUUCCUUUUUUAACCACUUAUUUAAAAAAAAAAACACUAUUCCACCCAUUUCAUUUCCAAAUAAAUGGGGGCCAAACAGGGGAUAUAAGAUUAUGUGCUUCAUUUUUUGUAGGCUAUAUAUGAAAUGAGACAAUUUAUCCAUACUGGUUGCACUGUGACUUGUUCUGAACAUUGGUUAGCCCAUAGUGAUAGCUUCAUCUUGAUGUAAGCUCGUUUCACCGUUUCUGUUGUAUUUAGGUUCUGGUCGAUCACGCAGAUUUUCUGAAGGAAUUGGAGAUCAAAGAGUAAUGAGCACGGUUGUGAUUAAGGGACUGGAUUUCAAAUCUGGGGUUAAUAGUUUAGCUAUGGUAAAUAAAUAACCCCGGACGAGUAGUAUUUGCCAGUAUUGAGUUUUAAUCCAAGUCAGAAUGCAGUGUUAACCAUGUUUUGAGUACACAGCGAGCUUUUCUCUGAUGUAUUUUACUGCAUUAUCUUAUGAGUACUUUUCAAACUUUUCUCUGAGAUCUAAUCCAGUCAGAAUGAACUGUGUUUAUGUUUAUAUUUCAAGAUUUUUCAUGG